RNAcentral lists this ribosomal RNA (253 nucleotides) under uncultured bacterium. Its description in RNAcentral is "partial 16S ribosomal RNA". It matches the Rfam family "Bacterial small subunit ribosomal RNA", at positions 524 to 776 of the family's 1533-position model. The record is from RNAcentral.
UACGGGGGGGGCAAGCGUUGUUCGGAAUUACUGGGCGUAAAGGGCUCGUAGGCGGCCAACUAAGUCAUACGUGAAAUCCCUCGGCUUAACCGGGGAACUGCGUCUGAUACCGGAUGGCUUGAGUUCGGGAGAGGGAUGCGGAAUUCCAGGUGUAGCGGUGAAAUGCGUAGAUAUCUGGAGGAACACCGGUGGCGAAGGCGGCAUCCUGGACCGAUACUGACGCUGAGGAGCGAAAGCCAGGGGAGCAAACGGG